AGUGAACGCUGGCGGUAGGCCUAACACAUGCAAGUCGAACGACAGCACAGUAAGAGUUUGCUCUUACGGGUGGCGAGUGGCGGACGGGUGAGGAAUACAUCGGAAUCUACUUUUUCGUGGGGGAUAACGUAGGGAAACUUACGCUAAUACCUCAUACGACCUACGGGUGAAAUCAGUGGAUCUUCGGACCUUGCGCGUUUGAAUGAGCCGAUGUUGGAUUAGCUAGUUUGCUGGGUAAAGGCCCACCAAGGCGACGAUCCGUUGCUGGUCUGAGAUGAUGGACAGCCAAACUGGAACUGGAACACGGUCCAGAAUCCUAAGGGAAGGCGGAGUGGGGAAAAUUGGACAAAGGGGGGAAAGCUGAACAAAGCAUAGCGCGUGGGUGGAGGAAGCUUUCGGGUUGGAAAGACCUUUUGAUGGGAAAGAAAAGAAGGAGGUUAAUACCCCGCUGGUCUGAAGGUAACCAAAGAAUAAGCACAGGCUAAAUUAGUG
Molecule: ribosomal RNA, 492 nt
Filed under: uncultured bacterium
Lineage: Bacteria
Description: partial 16S ribosomal RNA
Rfam family: Bacterial small subunit ribosomal RNA
Source: RNAcentral